AUUGAACGCUGGCGGCGUGCUUAACACAUGCAAGUCGAUCGGUAACGCGGGGGCAACCCUGGCGACGAGAGGCGGACGGGUGAGGAACGCUUGGGAAUCUGCCCAUCAGCGGGGGACAACCCGGGGAAACCCGGGCUAAUACCGCAUACGCUCUAUGGAGGAAAGCCGGGGACCGCAAGGCCUGGCACUGAUGGAUGAGCCCAAGUCGGAUUAGCUAGUUGGCGGGGUAACGGCCCACCAAGGCGACGAUCCGUAGCUGGUCUGAGAGGACGAUCAGCCACACUGGGACUGAGACACGGCCCAGACUCCUACGGGAGGCAGCAGUGGGGAAUAUUGGACAAUGGGGGAAACCCUGAUCCAGCGACGCCGCGUGGGUGAAGAAGGCCUGCGGGUUGUAAAGCCCUUUCGGUAGGGACGAAAACUCUCGA
RNAcentral lists this ribosomal RNA (428 nucleotides) under uncultured bacterium. RNAcentral describes it as "bacterial SSU rRNA". It matches the Rfam family "Bacterial small subunit ribosomal RNA", at positions 29 to 458 of the family's 1533-position model. The record is from RNAcentral.